AUGAAGCUCAUGAUGACUUUGUGGCGGUGCUGGCAUGUUCGAAACGUGAUGACGCACGACAAGCGGCCGCCCCCGGUUGAGGUGUCCAAGAGGUUUCUGCUGAGCUACGUCGACUCCUUGAUAGGCACCCAGAACCAUCCCAGUGCAGACCCAGUGAAAUGCAAGCAAGUAGUUGAUGCUGUUGUGCCAUGCCGGCCAAUGUCACAUCAAACUUCCUCUGUUGAUGGUCCGCGGCCACGCUGGACGCCUCCACAGGCAGGCUGGACCAAGCUGAACGUGGACGGAUCCUACUGCGCGAGCUCCGGAACGGCCGGGGCCGGAAUGAUCUUACGGGACAGCUUUGGCGAGAUCAUAUUUUCAUCCUGUAGGGAGUUGAGGACGUGUGCCGAACCUUUGGAAGCUGAGCUACACGCAUGCAUGGAGGGCCUCAACCUUGCACUGCAGUGA
This 447-nucleotide ribosomal RNA is filed under the name Triticum aestivum (bread wheat). RNAcentral's name for it is "partial small subunit ribosomal RNA". The record is from RNAcentral. Lineage: Eukaryota; Viridiplantae; Streptophyta; Magnoliopsida; Poales; Poaceae.